Molecule: long non-coding RNA, 533 nt
Filed under: Zostera marina
Lineage: Eukaryota; Viridiplantae; Streptophyta; Magnoliopsida; Alismatales; Zosteraceae
Description: long non-coding RNA (ZMAR_LNC005579)
Source: RNAcentral
AUUUCCUUCUUUCCCUUCAUUUUUCUUUCUUUCCACAUUUGAACAAAUUUAGGGAUUUAAUUCCCAAAAUCGUGAAAUUGCCGCGCCCGUUCCAAGAAGAGCUCGUCGCCGGCGAACAUCAAUUCUCACCAGAUGGCGACCUUCGGUGGUACGCCCGCCGUCACAGCCAUGCCCCUACCCAAGCGCCAGCGCCGAGUUCCACUAGCGGUUAAUCCCCAACGUGGGAUGAAUGUAAUAGUCGAUCCCAUGAUCACACAAGGAUCAACACUAUAAAACCCCUAAGAAUUAUGAACGAAAUACAAAAAGAGCUUUUAUAAUUUUCUGUUGCCUUCUUCUUUCUCUACUUCCGUCAACGUCUCCUCCGACCAACAUCGACCGACAUGCUCUCCGGACGUGUCAUCCGGUGAAGCUUUAGGAAAUAAUAAUCAUUUCUAUUUAUACGCUAUAUCUAUUCAUAUAUGGGCUAUAUCAAUAUAUAGUUUAUCGUACAUUCAGUUAAACACUUUCACUUUGAUAUACAAGGGUUUAACUGA